UUCCAAUCAGUUUUUAAGUGUUUGAUCAAUUGCUUUGGCACUUGGCUGAAUUCAGGUGCUUAUGGGCAGAGAGCAGUUCUCAAGUUUGCUCAGUACAUUGGUGCUUAUGCCAUUGCUGGAAGGCAUACCCUUGAUACUUUCAACAAUUAGCUUCAAACUUCCUUCAGUGAGCAUCGCCUUCUCAUCCUCAUCGAUCCAAGAACAGAUCACCAGUCACCAUUACUUAUCACAUCCUUGAAACCAGUCAGUUUCAAGAUUUAGACAACCUACAAAGAGGGAACUACUCUUAAGGAAAUACAAAUGAGAUGCUUCAGAGGAUCAUCUCCCAACUUGAUUUGUUUAUGAACACAGUGGAGGGUAGAGAUAAACUUUAAGGUGGAGCUACUGAAAUCUAAGGUAAAAGCUUUACUAAUUUUACCUUAGACAAUAAUGCAAUUUUCACUCUUCAUAAUAUUUUGCUUUUGUAUUUCUGAAUCAUAAAAAGCUUUCUCUGGAUUGUCCACUCUAAGGAUCAAAGUAAGAAUAAGGUUAACCAUUUCUUUUAUUCAUUCCUUUAAUUUUCUGUGUACUGCAAUUCCUCAACCAACUCUUCUAUUUUCUGAGUGUUUAGCUGUGUUGUAGUAAAGAUAUUGCCAUUGGAACACAUGGUUUGAUAUCUGUUUGAGAUUUUAAGUUUGGUAGUUUACUUUAAAUUUGUAAAAAAUACUUGUGGCAACUCACAAGUUAAUAUGUUGAUAUAUAUACUUUCUACAUGGUAAGAUCAAGGGGACCUGCGUGACAAACAUAAGGAUCCAUUUAGGAAAGACUCUACCAAACCGACUUUUAAGGUGAUGAUUUUUUCCCACUUAUAUAGUUUAUCUCGACACUAUCUAUAUUCGAUGUGGGACUUCAACAUUAAGUAAACAUAGAAAAUGUUCUUUCUACCUUGAUUAUUUGAAGAACUAUAUCUUAGUUGACACAAAAGUUAGGACAACAUUAUAAAAAAAUGCUCCGUAACACUUACUAGGUAUAGUGUAGGCUCCAAGGUUAGAAUUAGUAGUUGUAUUCAGAGAUGUAUUGAUUGGUCCUUGACUAAAUUGGAUUAGUCAUUACUUGCUAUAAAUUUAAUUAGAAAUAAACUACGAUUCUGUUAGUGCGUGAAAUGAACCAUUAUUUGGCAAUUUUAAACUAUGAUAGAGGCAAUCUUUCCUACGUGUUAUUAGUGACUAGAAGUGUCAUUGAUCAUAUUUAUUGUAUCAAAGUUUAUGUUUUUUGUAGUACAAAAACAGAUUGUGAUUUCUAUUGAGUCAGGGGGUUCUUUUAAGUUUGCAAAGUUGUCAGCGAAAUGCAGAGAUACAGAAUUUGUAGUGAGAACAGAGGCAGAGUAUUA
Glycine soja is the source of this 1369-nucleotide long non-coding RNA. RefSeq lists it as uncharacterized. The record is from RefSeq and is a predicted model, not a curated record. NCBI's taxonomy places the organism in Eukaryota, Viridiplantae, Streptophyta, Magnoliopsida, Fabales, Fabaceae. The transcript has 3 exons.